Molecule: ribosomal RNA, 1490 nt
Filed under: uncultured bacterium
Lineage: Bacteria
Description: bacterial SSU rRNA
Rfam family: Bacterial small subunit ribosomal RNA
Source: RNAcentral
AGAGUUUGAUCAUGGCUCAGGAUGAACGCUGGCGGCGUGGAUAAGGCAUGCAAGUCGAACGAACCUUGUGGAGAUGAAGUCUUCGGAUGGAUUUUUCACUCUGGUUAGUGGCGAACGGGGUAGUAAUGCAUAGGAACGUACCUAGAAGUCAGGAAUAGCCCACCGAAAGGUGGAUUAAUACUUGAUAGUCCCUCCGGGGUAAAGAUUUAUCGCUUCUAGAUCGGCCUGUGUGGUAUCAGCUAGUUGGUAAGGUAAAGGCUUACCAAGGCUAUGACGCCUAGGGGAGGUGAGAGCCUGACCCCCACCAUUGGAACUGCGACACGGUCCAAACUCCUACGGGAGGCUGCAGUCGAGAAUCUUCCGCAAUGCACGAAAGUGUGACGGAGCGACGCCGCGUGAUUGAUGACGCUCUUCGGAGUGUAAAGAUCUUUUAUAAGGGAGGAAAUUUUUGACGUUACUUUAUGAAUAAGGGGCUCCUAAUCUCGUGCCAGCAGGAGCGGUAAUACGAGAGCCUCAAGCGUUAUCCGGAAUUAUUGGGCGUAAAGGGUGCGUAGGUGGUUAUAUUAGUCGAAUGUUAAAGACUCGGGCUUAACUCGAGGAAUGCAUUCGAAACGGUAUGACUAGAGAAUGUGAGGGGUGUACGGAACUAACGGUGUAGGGGUGAAAUCCGUUGAUAUCGUUGGGAACACCAAAAGCGAAGGCAGUACACUGGCACAUUUCUGACACUGAGGCACGAAACCGUGGGUAGCGAAUGGGAUUAGAUACCCCAGUAGUCCACGGCCUAAACGAUGCAGAUUAGCUUUUCGGAGUAUCGACCCUUCGAGAGGCGUAGCUAACGCGUUAAAUCUGCCGCCUGGGAAGUACGGUCGCAAGACUAAAACUCAAAGGAAUAGACGGGGACUCGCACGAGCAGUGGAUCAUGCGGUUUAAUUCGAUGAUAAACGAAAAACCUCACCAAGGUUAGACAUCUAGACGACGAUUUUGGGAAACCAGAAUUUUCCUUCGGGACGGCUAGACAGGUGUUGCAUGGCCGUCGUCAGUUCGUGGCUUGAGUUGUACCCUUAAGUGGGCUAACGAACGCAACCCUCAUCAGCGUGUUAUAUGUGUCACGCGAGACUGCCCGGCCCAAAGUUCAGGAAUGAUUUUCAUUCGUGGAUUGUGGGCUGGGAGGAAGGAGAGGAUGACGCCAGGUCAGCAUGACCCUAGACGCCUUGGGCUACACGCAUGAUACAAUGGAUGGUACAACGGGUCGCGACGUCGUAAGACUGAGCCAAUCCUUAAAAACCAUUCUUAGUUCGGAUUGUGGUCUGAAACUCGACCAUAUGAAGUUGGAAUUGCUAGUAAUCGCAGGUCAGCUAUACUGCGGUGAAUACGUUCUCGAGUCUUGUACUCACCGCCCGUCAAGUCAAGGGAGCCGGGGGUACCCAAAGUCUCUCCUCACGGAGGGCCUAAGGUAAAUUCGGUGACAGGGACUAAGUCGUAACAAGGUA